AAUCUUUAAACAUUUUCUUAUAUAUUUAUCAUAGGAGUAGCCUUUAUUUUUAUUUAGAAAAUUCAUCAUCUUUAUUUUAUUCUAUUGAAAUGAUUUAAAACUGCUGUUGAUUAAACUUGAUGUAAAUAAACAAUAUACAAUUGCCUUUAAGAUAAUGAACAUUACAAAAAAAACUUUCAAUUUAUUGAUUUACAACCAAGAUCUGUGAAUUCAUUUGUUAAUUUGAAACUUUGUCAUAUGUAAGCAUCAAUAACUGUGAUAGUAAUGAACUUCUUCAAUAUAUAUAUUUUUUUAAUUUAACAAAAGAAGUUUUAACUCUUUUGUAUGAAAAUAUUGUAAUUUAUUUUAAGAGCUUCACACUGAUAUUGUGAAAUCUUGGACUAGCCAAAAACUCUUUAUCCAUAAUUUUUCAAAUAUGUUUUCUGAAAAUCUAGACAUGUGUAUAUUAAGUAUAUUGUAUUGUUUUAUUUUAUCAUUGUAGCAUGUAGAUCCUGCUUGUGAAGUAGAUAAUUCUCACAAUCUGUGCACAAUUUAAGAUUAUUGUACAACAUGUAUUUAGUUUAGACUGAAACUCAAAGAAGUUAUUUAUUCAUUUAUUAUAGUUUCAAAAAUACUGCCAUUCAUGGCAUAAUAGAAACAUUUAAAUCAGUCUGACUUUGUGUAAAGAGGGGGCAUUAUUUGUAGAUUAAUGUUUUGUAGUUAAGAACAAAGAUUUAUAGUUUAUGUUGUUAAAAGAAAACUUAUGUAUGAAAAUUAUUGAAUUUUGGUGGUGCAUCUUUCCCCAACAUUUGAUAUAAAUUAAUAUGGUAAUUAGAUAUAAAAAUGCCAAACACUUUGUAUACUGAAUUUCAAAAACAAAUUAAACAAAAAUUUAUAAAUACAUGCUUAGGGUGAGUUAUUUUGUUUAUUUUUUGUCCAAUGAAAGUUAAUAUCUUCUAGCUAUAUAUACAUAUUAUGGAUCAAGGGUCUGGAAACUGUCAUAUUUAUCAGUCAUGUCCUAAACUGAAAGUAUUUGUCCUUAACGUGGAAUUGGGAUUUAGGACAAAUUAGGUGAAAAAAAUUCCAGAUCCUUGUUAUGAAUGAAACAUUCAAAACUAGAAUGAAAUAAACACACAAAAAAGUUGUUGACAAUUUUGUUCAAGUUUGUAGAAGCAUUCUCUGAGGCAGAUUUAGGGGUGUCUGCCACCUUUCAAGAUCGGAUUCUAAGCAUAACCACACACACAAAAAUAGAUUUGGACAACAGAAUACUACAAAAAAUUUAUCUUAGUCAUGUUUGUCAUCUAUACAUAUCAUUUCUAUAGCAUUUUUAUUGUUGAAUACAUAAUCAGUUACUCAGGAUCAACAGAUCAAAAGCUUUAAUUCAUAACAAUAUUUUCACCAUUGGCAUUAUACAACAAAUAAUUAUACAGGAAUCAAUCAAAAAGAACUGGUCAGUGCAUUCACAACUUUUUGUAUAAACAUGUUUAUCUUUUAUAAUGUGUUUUUUUAACUCAUGCAUUAUCCAAAAGCAAUAUAUUCAUUUUUCUAGAGGAUAACUGAUAUUUUGGUAGUUAGUUGUAGAUACCAGAAAAUAAGUGCAGACAUACAAACAUCUCAACCGUUCAGGGUUCAACCUCUGCGGUCGUAUAAAGCUACGCCCUGCGGAGCAUCUGGUUUAAUACUGAAACCAAAUUAAUCUUAUUAAGGUUAAAUGUUUAAUUCAGCUAACUUUUUCAAUCCCCUCAAGUGUGUGAUGUCUUUUCCUUAGAAAUUUAAUGCAUGAAUUAUCUUUUUUGGGUUAAGGCUGUUGCUUUUAUUUUGACUAAGUAUUCUAAUUAUGCUAUAAUAUGUUAUGAUAGUUGACAUUUUUGCAUUGGAUCUGUAAUUUUAUAGUAUCAUAAUCAUUUGGCAAUAAAAGUUAAAAGGAAUUAUAAUGAUUAAAGUAAUGUUUUUGGUGCAAUGUUCAAGACCAAACUUGGGUCUUUUCAAACAUCCACUGUGUUUAAUAAAACUUUGUUUUGGAUGUGUCUGUAUUGUUCUAUGUCGCUGAAGCUACAAAUAUUUGCAAUGAAUCAUGAUGCUUAAAUACCUAUAACCAGUAUUUAUUUUAUAGUUUUAUUUUUGACCAUUAUAUGAAUGUUUAGUAAUCAAGCUGAUUGGUCAAGCUUGUUUUUCAUUGCCAAUGUCUCUUAUGAAUUAGAUCUGUUUCUAUACUAACUUGUUACUAUAUGUUGAUGUAUAGUUUUAAUUCCAGGAAAUCCCCAUGCUACAGGUUUGAGAAAACUGUUUAUUGCAUGUAAAGGUUUAAAAAAAUAUUGAACUACUGUCAAUUGUACAAUAUAAAAACUAAGAAAAUUGCACCUUCACCUUUUAUUGAUGGAGCAAAGAUUUCAAAUAAACAAUGAAAUAUCAAAGGGCAAUGAUAUACUUUGACCUGACUUUAGUAUAGUCUUAUGUAGAAUCUAAGAAAGGGAUGAAAAUGGAUUUAUAAUGAAAACCAAUACCAGUUUGCAUGCUUGAUAUUUAGAAAAGGGAGACAAAUAGUCAUAAUAGUUUGGCCAGUAAGUGCUCAUUAUAUCAUAAUGUUUGACACAAAUGAACCUGGAGUUUGGUAGAAUUAUAUAAAUAUGUUUUUACAUGUAGUAAUUUCAACCUGACUCAAAUUAUAUUGGACAUGUAAUUUUAUUUUUAAAAAGGAUAUAGAUAUGAUUUAUUUUUAAGACUUUGGGUAUAUACACACAACCAUAGCAUAUAAUUAUAAUGGGAAGAGCAAAGUGCUCUAAAACAUGAUUAAAAUAGGUUAUUGUUUACAAAGCUGUACUAAACUGAUACAGGGUGCUAUACCUGACAGGGUUUGUCACUCAUUAUAUUCAAAUGUGAUAAUAAAAUUUGUUUUUUCAGAGAUUAUCUUUAAAUUAAGCAUUUUUACAGAUGUAUACAGUUACAAAUUAUAGUUUUAUUUAUAAAAACCAUACAUCAAAUUUUCAAAUUUGGAAAUUUAUUUUCAUGGUCUGACAUUUAAUCUUUUUAAACCAACUGACCAAAAAAAAUCAGUUGUAAAUUUUUGUUGGUAGCCCGAUCAAUACCAACUAUGAUCAUUUGAGAGAAAAUUACAUUUAUAAACAUUCCCUAAAAUGGGGCAAUUUUAUUUUUUUAACAAGGAAAGAAUAUGUUUAAUUUACAAUUUAUUAUGUUUUAAUGAUUUUGUUUUUUAAUUCGAUUUUGUAUUUAAAAAUGUACUAACUAUUCAGAUAAUUGAUUAUGAAUAAAAUGCUGGACCAUUGAAUAUCAUUUCUUGUUCUAAUUGUACAUUUCAAUUUAAAAAUAUUAUUGAUGAGUGACAUUUUAUUCUGCCAAAACAAGACAUUAGUGGUCUGAUUUAUCUUACAGCGGUACUUAAUAAUUUGGAGCUUUUUUUAUUUUUAAGUUAUGGCAUCAAAUUUGGGAGCUCUUUCAAAAACAUUUAUGCUCUCAAUUAUAUAUGUGAAGUUAUAUUUUUCAUAAUUAUGAAGUAGGUUAUAUAAAAAUGAUUUUAAAAUUUAAAAUUUCUUUUUAAAUAUUAUUGCCUUACUGAAGAAAAAAAUAUAUAUAUAUAUAUUUAUAUACCAGGGGUAUUUAAUAAAGUUAACCAAAAAAGCUGUCAAGUUUAUAGUUUAUUUUACUCUUAAGUGUAUCUUUUCUGGUCUAACCUUUAACUAUGAAAUUUGACUGGAAUAAUUGUUAGGUGUACAUGUCCAUCUGUGAAAGGUAAGAUUUUCUUGGUUCCUCUAUUAUUUUCAUAUUUUUGAAGAUUUGAUUUUGAUUUUUUGUGUUUCAACGCCACUUUUAAGCACCGCUUUUGGGGCUUUUUCGUUGCGGCCAGUUUUUAUUGGUGGAGGAAGUUGGUGUGCCUAGUGAAAACCACCGACCUUGGAUAGGAAAGGUUAGUUUAUGACUUUGUGAGACAUACAUAUGCAAAUAUGGCUGCAGAGACGGCAUGAAUUAUUUUUAUGAAGCUUUAUAUUUUACAAGUAGAAGACCUGAAUGCUUACUAUUAAGGUAUCCAGAUGCCUUAUGUUGAAGUUUCUUUUCUGUCAUAUAUCCAUUUGUCAAAUUCAAUAUUUUGGUUCAGCAACUGCUUCAAAAAGCUGAUCAGUUUUAUUAUGCCCCACCUACGAUAGUAGAGGGGCAUUAUGUUUUCUGGUCUGUGGCUCUGUUCGUUCCUUCUGUUAGUUCAUUUGUUCGUCCGUGCGUCCAUUCGCCCUGCUUCAGGUUAAAGUUUUUGGUCAAGGUAGUUUUUGAUGAAGCUAAAGUCCAAUCAACUUGAAACUUAGUCUAAUGUUCCCUAUAAUAUAAUCUUUCUAAUUUUAAUGCCAAAUUAAAUUUUUACCCAAUUUCACAGUCCAUGGAACAUGGAAAAUGAUAGUGCGAGUGGGGCAUCCGUGUACUUGGACACAUUCUUGUUUUUCUUCAUGUGAAUUCCUCUCUGUAAUGAGCAAUAGGGUCUCAAUAUUUGGCAAAAAGGAUCCUUAUAAGGUCUACUUGUCCAUUAUACAAGGUUCACUCGACUUCAACCUCAUUAAAUAGAUCAAUACUCAAGGUUAUUAUAAACAAUAGGUGUAUGGAAUGAUUGUGAAGUUUACAUGUUUGAACUGAAAAUUUCAUGGCCUCUAUUACAUGAUUUAGCAGUCAAUGUUUUUGUGGUAAGGUCUUUUUCAUAGAUACUUUAACACUUAUAAGCAAUAGCUCAACACUAUUUGGUGAAUGACCUUGACCUUUUUUCUUCGUUUAUUGUCAACGUUAAGCUUUGUAAUUAGAAUGGUUUCCCGUCUCAGAUACUAUCAACAAUAGGUUUAAUAUAUUUGGUGUCUGGUGGGAUUGAAAGGUGUACAUAUCUGUCUGACCUUGACUUUAUUUACAUGGAUCAUUGAUAAUGUUAAAUUUAUGUGAUACUAGUAGUAAAACUUUCAAAUUAAAGACUUUCAACUUUACAUCGAUAUGCGAGACAGUUUAUCUGCAAUUUGCUUAAAAUAAUAAUUUUAGAUCAAGUGUACAGACCUUAUCUCAUGGUUGAAUUAGCAUGGACCUCAUCUUCAUGGUUAAGUGAUUCACACUCAAUUGUCCAUAACAAUGUGCUGCAAUUCUGAAAAGUGCUCCGUGUACAAAACUAGGUAAAGGUUAGACUAGGAAGUUAUAUCAGGUGUACAUCCAUACAUGUUAUAUCUGUGAUAUCAUUAUUUAUCAUUGACCAAACUAUAACAUAGGACAGUUAAUAGAAUUAUGGUCAACUGUGGGAUCUUUUUUUUUGUUUGCAAGUCCAUGUAUAUUGUUUUGUAACUUUUACAGGAUAUUAAAUUACUAAGUUGUCUGAGUAAUAUGACCUUUGAUCCUUAUUUAUGUUGUAAUAAUCAUAUUGUAUCUUUAUUAUUAGGAGGCUUGCCUCUAGCUUGUUUUGUUGAUUUUUGCUUUAAAGAAUCUUAAUAAAGUCUCUACUAUUUUAAAAAUAUUGGGUUGUGUUAUUCAACUAUUGUUAUCUCGUUAUUUCAGGACUGAAUUUAAUACUUUGUGACAUGAAAAAAACAGGCAAAUUUAUUGUUUACCUGCAAAAUAUUAGAAAUGCCAUAUUGAAAAGUGAUGCUAAUGGGAAAGUGGGUCUAGUAACCGCUCUUCUCUGUUUCGUU
RNAcentral lists this long non-coding RNA (5639 nucleotides) under Mytilus galloprovincialis (Mediterranean mussel). Lineage: Eukaryota; Metazoa; Mollusca; Bivalvia; Mytilida; Mytilidae. The record is from RNAcentral.